UACAGGGGGAACAAGCGUUAUUCAUCAUGACUGGGCGUAAAGGGUUUGUAGGUGGAGGCGUAAGUAUAUAAGGAACAAGACUUAUUUAAACUGGGCUUCUUGAGUUUGGAGGAGGAUAAAUGUAUUUGUGAUGGAGAGGUGAAAUUUGUAGAUAUCAAAAGGGACAACCAAUUGGUGAAGGCGUUUAUCUAGGACAGAACUGACACUGAGGGACGAAGGCGUGGGGAGCAAAUGAG
RNAcentral lists this ribosomal RNA (236 nucleotides) under uncultured bacterium. Its description in RNAcentral is "partial 16S ribosomal RNA". It matches the Rfam family "Bacterial small subunit ribosomal RNA", at positions 524 to 776 of the family's 1533-position model. The record is from RNAcentral.